Molecule: long non-coding RNA, 4523 nt
Filed under: Setaria italica (foxtail millet)
Lineage: Eukaryota; Viridiplantae; Streptophyta; Magnoliopsida; Poales; Poaceae
Description: long non-coding RNA (SITA_LNC004240)
Source: RNAcentral
GUCGACUUCGCCGGCUGGAAGCAGCAGCAGCGGCAGCGGCAGCGGUGCGGAGCAGCCCAGGCUGCGCGGCGUGCGGAAGCGGCCGUGGGGCCGGUACGCGGCGGAGAUCCGCGACCCCGUGCGGAAGGCGCGCGUGUGGCUCGGCACCUUCGACACCCCCGAGCAGGCCGCGCGCGCCUACGACGCCGCCGCGCUGAAGCUCCGCGGGCCCGGCGCCACCACCAACUACCCCUCGGCCGACGCGAAGGCGGCGGCGGCUCCGGCGACGAGCGGUAGCGGGAGCGGGAGCAUCGUGCUGUCAGAGGGCGCGUCGUCCUCCUCCUCCUCCUCUCGGGACUCUCCGCUGGCACCGAGUCUGGCGCUUCCGGCCACGGCCGCCGCGCAGCCCUGCCAUCUGUUCCUGGACCCAACGACGACGACGGUGAUGGUCGUGGCGCCGGCGCUGCUGCAGUUCCUGCCGCCGAAGAGCGAGGAGGAGCAUAGCUUCGCAGGGUCGAGCUCCUCGCCGCCCGUGGUGUUUGACUCGGCGCCGCCGGCCGUGGGCCUGGGGCUGGACCUGAACCUGGCGCUGCCGGCGCCAGGGACGAUGGUGGUGUAGCGGACAGACUAAUCAAUUGGUUAAUUGCAUACAGUAGGAAUUAGCUGAUGAUGGAUCCAGAUGCCAUCAGGCCAGUGUAAAAUAGGCUGCAGAUUUGUGAACGCAGCCCAUCGUUUUCCUUUCUUUUUGUACUGGCACAUCUGCAUCUUCUUGCAAUGCAACAACGAGGAUGAUCUUCCCUCCCAGUUUACUACAAUCUCUCGUCUGCCAGUCUCACAGGUCCAGCAGCUCCUGAAACCUCCGAAUUGUAGCGCGCCGCGCGCCGGGAUAUGGGUUCGCAGAGUCGGAUGGCAUCCGGAUAGAGUUCUGGGUACGCGCACGGCGCACGGGUAUGCGGGUAGCAAGCGGCGGCGUCACGUACGCGUCGCCGGGCAGGGCAGGUAGGAGUAGGACGUGGUCUCGAGGCAACGCGCCCGUGUCGGCAGGGCAGCUGGACAGCGCGGCAGCGUGGUGCCGUGGUGUACGCGCGGCCACGAUGCACCGUCCGCAUCCAGUAGGACGUGUGCGUGCAGGUGCGCGCGCCGCCGCCGACGUCUCCAUCAACCGCCCCACGGUUUUUAAAAAGUCCGCCGACCCCGGAGGCGCGACGCGGGGUUCCCCGCAGUCGCCGUUGGCCGGCGGCAGGCGUCCCGUGCGCGUGCGGCUAUCGCUGUCGCAGGCUCGCAGGUGGCAGGCUGGCAGAGCAGGCGCCGCUCACCCUCAUAUUCCCUCGCAGCUGACGUUUCACCUCCAAAACUUGUCGCACGAAAAAUAUUCAUUUAAUCACCUUCUCAAAGUAACCAAGAGUUCUAAAAAAAAAAUCUUCCCAAAACAAAGUAUUGGGACUAUGCUAAAACAAAUUUCUCCAGAAAAUAUAUAACACAUAGCAAAAUGCUAAAAAUUCUUCCCAAAACAAAGUAUUGGGGCUAUGCUAAAAAAAAAUUCUCCAGAAAAUAUAUAACACAUAGCAAAAUGCUAAAAACUAUCCCCCAAUAAUUCAAAAGGACCACUUCAUCAUAAUCGGAAUCAAGUAUCAAAAGAACGACAACUCGUUGGAUCGGGCCUGUCUCUAGUGCAACAGCAUGUAGAGCAGCAUGUCAUUGCAGGCGUCCAUAGUGCUGGGCAAGCACUAGUGCAGAUAGUCACGCGACACAGACGGGUGGAAGAACCAGCUCGCCGAGACCACCACGUAGUCGAACUCGCCGGCGCGCGCCGACCACCCGGCAUCCGGCUGGUCGAGGUGGAGGCUCCACAGCCUGCCCCACUCCUUCGCUGCGCUCUUCCACGGGACCCUCGCCGCGCUCGCCGUGGCCAGGGCUAUCCUCGAGCUGCCCGCGGGGUCCCGCUCCUUCGCCUCGCCCAACAAGCGCCUUCAGGAGCACGUCCUCGACUACAACAUCGCCUAUUUUACCAUGGACCUGCUCCACUACCUCACCUUUCUGCCCAGAGACGUCCUCUUCAUCGCGCACCAUUGAUUCAACCCCUGGCGCCAUCAUGCAACCGCGGAGCAAGAGGGGAUUCAACCACCACCCGCUAGCGCUGCCGCCGAUCCCGUCCGUCUUCGGCGGCCGGUACACUGCCCUCACCUUCCCGCCGCCGCACUUCUUUCUCGCGUGCGUUCCCUCACCUAACCUCACUCUCCACAUCGCAGCUUCCCACGCCUCCCUCCUCUCCAACCGGCGGUGUCGAUCGCGCCAUGGAGAACGGCCUCCUCGACGACCCCUUCGCGCUCGCCCCGCCGCCUUGCUACUCGCCCCGCCAUCCCGCUGCUCACUCCGCCAGCACCGCUGCUCGCGCGGGAAGUGGCCGUGCAGGACGUUUGGGAAAAGACGUGCGCGGGGGAUUGGGGAAGACCAGCUGACGUGAAUAUAUGCGGUGCCAGUGGUGUUUUUUUCGCGUCACCAAUCUUUUGGAAAGUUUUAGGUGGAUUAUUGGAGUUCUUUUUUUCAUUUUUUUUCCUAAAAAAAGGUAUUGGAGGUAAGAUUAGAGUCUUUUGGAGUUCUCUCACCUAAUUAACAAAUCAAUCUACAUUCACUCCCAAUCUACAUUGCCCAGCCAGACUCGCUCACCCCUUCCAUCGCCUCUUUCAUUGGUCACCCCUCCGUUCCUUGAUUAUCUGCUCGACACAUAAACGAUGCCCACUUGCAUGCAACACCGCGCAUCCGUGCCGCUUCCCCAUCGCUCGAUGCUCGCCGCCGCUUCCCAUAGCUAGCACGCUCGUCGCCGCUUCACAUUGCCUUAUUUGCCACUCUACUGCAGCUCUCCCCUCCCAUCCCAUGGUGCUAAGCGACUUCGGCAAGAGCCGUGGUUCACGGGAUUCGGGCUAAGCAGCUGCAUCUUCCAGCGAAGGGAGUGGAUCCACGACCUCCGGCUCUGGAUCGGGUGUGGGGGAGGUUGGAGUUGCAGGCUCGGUGGAGGUGGGAUGCGUAGUGGCUGAUCCUUAUCUUCCCACAGGACUCCUCUACUAUUUAAGCCCUCUUUGGCACGGCUAAUUUCAGCUUUAGCUUCAUCUAUUUUGCGCAAAUCGAGGCACUGUAGCGUGAAAUUAUUUUGUAAGCCGGGGCUAAAAUGAAUUAGAAGCUAGGUGAAGCCAGUUUUUUUAGCUUCACCGGUGAAAGUAUGUGCAAUGUUGCAUUCUCGUAUGGAAUCAUGAUAACAAUGUUGCAUUCUCGUAUGGCCACAGACAGUCAUAACAUUCACCUACACUAUCUAUUUAAUAAUGCUUGUUUCCUCUAUUAAUUUUAGAUUUUUUUCCCCAAGUAAAAAUAUGUGCAAGUAAAAUGUGCAUCAAUAAAAUAUAAGCACAUCUAUCAUGAUGAUCGUGCUUGGAUUGGCACGGCACGAAGUUGUACCGGCGUGCAGCACGGGCCAUGCUUGUGCUUAGUAAAAGACUUAUCGUGCUGUGCCGGUACAACACGACGUACCUAACGUGCUCGGAAGUCCAGACACGAUGCGGCACGGGGCAUGAGAGGGCCCGGCCGUGCAAUGAAAAUCUUACCAAGGCAAGCAAGUUGUACCAAGUCGUUAUCCUUGCCUGUUCAAGCGAGACGACGCCGAGCACGGGAACCGAGAUCGAAACGAACCCUCAAAGUAGGAAAGUGACAUUCUGCAGUAACCUCAUGCUACACUCAACAACAAAUCACAAGACAUCGUUUCUUGAUCCGACGGCUGCGCGGGCCAGCCACAUCCCACGCGGCACUGCGCGCCACGAGUCGGAACCGACCCGAACCAGCGCAGCGAGAGCAGAGCGGACACGCUAGCUCGCGCGCGCGACGCGCCGACGCAACACGGGCGGCCCCGCAAACCGACGCCGCGAGCCGCCGGAACGGAAACGCGGUGCGGGCGGCGCCUUGGGCCCCACCCUGAGCCCGCUCUCGGUCCGCAGCCAGCCAGACCUCACCUUCCUUCCACCUCUCCCGCGUGGGCCCCACCAUCCACCUCACCUGUCACCCUCACCGCCCCCACCCCCUCGUGCUCACUCGUGGUGUAUAUAUUCCAAGCCUCGCCGGCGGCAUCCCCAUCCAUUCUCGCAACUCGCAAGCGCCAACAGCAAACAACAAGCGAGCGAGAAGCUGAAGCAAGAAGCCGUCGAGGACGUGGAUCAAGCGAUCCAUGGCGCCGAAGAGGUCGACUUCGCCGGCCGGAAGCAGCAGCAGCGGCAGCGGCGUGUUCGCGCCGGCGGCGGCGGCGGAGCAGCAGCCAAGGCUCCGUGGGGUGCGGAAGCGGCCGUGGGGCCGGUACGCCGCGGAGAUCCGGGACCCCGUGCGCAAGGCGCGCGUGUGGCUCGGCACCUUCGACACCCCCGAGCAGGCGGCGCGCGCCUACGACGCCGCCGCGCGGAAGCUCCGCGGGCCCGGCGCCACCACCAACUACCCCGCCGCCGACGCGAAAGGGGCGGCGAGCGGGAACACCGUGCUGUCGGAGGACGCGUCGUCGUCCUCCUCGU